UUAAAUUGAAGAGUUUGAUCAUGGCUCAGAUUGAACGCUGGCGGCAGGCCUAACACAUGCAAGUCGAACGGUAACAGAAAGCAGCUUGCUGCUUUGCUGACGAGUGGCGGACGGGUGAGUAAUGUCUGGGAAACUGCCUGAUGGAGGGGGAUAACUACUGGAAACGGUAGCUAAUACCGCAUAACGUCGCAAGACCAAAGAGGGGUACC
RNAcentral lists this ribosomal RNA (209 nucleotides) under Escherichia coli MP1. RNAcentral describes it as "partial 16S ribosomal RNA". It matches the Rfam family "Bacterial small subunit ribosomal RNA", at positions 1 to 215 of the family's 1533-position model. The record is from RNAcentral. Lineage: Bacteria; Pseudomonadati; Pseudomonadota; Gammaproteobacteria; Enterobacterales; Enterobacteriaceae.